Lucilia cuprina (Australian sheep blowfly) is the source of this 1426-nucleotide RNA transcript. It is a transcript of the gene named protein tipE, with no coding region annotated. The record is from RefSeq and is a predicted model, not a curated record. Lineage: Eukaryota; Metazoa; Arthropoda; Insecta; Diptera; Calliphoridae. The transcript has 6 exons.
UCAAUUAAGAACAAUUGCUUUUAUUAAAACUUAAAAACAAAAUUAAAUUCAAUUAAAAACAACUACCAAAAAAACGCUUUUUUAACAUUUAACAAUAAAUCUUUUAAUAAUUUUCCCCUUUUCACUACUUACUUACACACCUAAACAACACUUUACAUUUAAAACAAUCAUAUCUUAAACACACACACACACACACACAUAAACAUUAUUUAAAAUUUUUUUCCAACAAACAACCAAAAGUAAACGUCAGUCAUUAUGAAAAAGAGUAAUACCGCCAAUACAAUAUUGUCUUCAUUGCCCACAAGUCCGACCAUGUCGGCCCAAAGUUAUGCUGGCAGUAAAUCUAGUCUAAAUAGCAGUCGCUCCAGUCGUUCUUCUAACAAUAUGCAAACGACCAAUUCGAAAAGCAAUAAGGUGGAUCAUGAAAUCGAAACUAUUUUAGAGAAAGCAAAAUUUUAUACUUCAGUAUGUUUGGGUACCACGGCUAUUUUAUCGGUUUUUACAUUUCUAUUUUUAAUACCCUUUGUUGUUGAUCCUGCUAUAUCGACUAUAAUUGCCGAUUAUGAUCCAGUACCGGUUACCUGUAUUGUUAUCGAUCAUGUCUAUGCGGAGGGUAUUAGAAAUUGUACAUGGAGCUCAUGUAGGGAAGGCUGUACAUCAUCGCCGAAUAAAUGUCAUCAAUUAUACGUAAAUUAUACCCGUAUACCAUUCGCAGAAUGGCAAAAAAAUCCACGUGAUUUAGAGACCGUAGUAUGGGAUGUAAGCUAUACGAAAUUUUUAAUAAAUUCCGAAGGAUGUGGUUAUCCACCAACUACCAAUUGUAGUGUAUUUGCCAGACAAUAUGGAUAUAAUCACAUUAAUGAACCAUUCGCUUGCUACUAUAGUCGUGCCUAUCCUGAAGUGGUUAUUGGUCGUUAUUCUUGGGAGAAUAAUCUUUAUCAUCUAAUACUAUCACUAAUAAUACCCACAGUAUUAUUUGCCAUAUCGAUUGGGGUCUUAAGCUAUUGGUAUUGUCCGUGUUGUGAUAAUGCCUGUAAUAAAUCAUCAAGGGUUUAUGCUGAAAAAUUCCCCACUAAGGAAGAGAUUGCAAACUGCAUGAAAUGUAAUCCGGAAAAAUCUAUUUCCCUGAAUAGUUAUUAAACUUUUUAAGAAAAAACUGAAAUUACAAUUAAAAAUCUACACACACGAUAAAAACUAGAGAAAACUUUAAAUGCCUGAAAAGUGCCUGAAAACCGUUUGAAUUUAAAAGAAAAACAAAACCAAGAAAAACAAAACUGAAAAUACUAAAACAUGUUAACAAAAAACUACUGUGUCACAGUGAUGAUGAGGAUGAAAUGGAAUACUAGAAUUAAAAAAAAUAAAUAUAUUUUUGUAAAGCAAAACAUUAUAUUUUGAAAAAACAAAGCACUUUACAGAAAAAGAAACA